RNAcentral lists this ribosomal RNA (194 nucleotides) under uncultured bacterium. RNAcentral describes it as "partial 16S ribosomal RNA". It matches the Rfam family "Bacterial small subunit ribosomal RNA", at positions 1307 to 1500 of the family's 1533-position model. The record is from RNAcentral.
GAGAUUCGCCUUCAUGAAGCUGGAAUUGCUAGUAAUGGCAGGUCAGCAUACUGCCGUGAAUACGUUCCCGGGCCCUUGUACACACCGCCCGUCACACCAUGAGAGUUGGGAAUACCCGAAGCCUGUGAGCUAACUUAUAGAGGCAGCAGUCGAAGGUAGAAUCAAUGAUUGGGGUGAAGUCGUAACAAGGUAAC